GAGAGCACAGUACGAUGAAAGUUGUAAGCUGUGUUCGGGGGUAUUUAUUGUCUAUUGUUGGUCUCUAUGGUAGAAUCAGU
Molecule: non-coding RNA, 80 nt
Organism: Beta vulgaris subsp. vulgaris (sugar beet)
Lineage: Eukaryota; Viridiplantae; Streptophyta; Magnoliopsida; Caryophyllales; Amaranthaceae
Source: Rfam